GCCGGUGUGGCGGAAUUGGUAGACGCGCGCGACUCAAAAUCGCGUUCCCUCUGGGAGUGAGAGUUCGAGUCUCUCCACCGGUA
This 83-nucleotide transfer RNA is filed under the name Balneolaceae bacterium. RNAcentral's name for it is "tRNA-Leu". It matches the Rfam family "tRNA". From Rfam's summary of the family: Transfer RNA (tRNA) molecules are approximately 80 nucleotides in length. RNAcentral also lists the same sequence under 3 other names. Lineage: Bacteria; Pseudomonadati; Balneolota; Balneolia; Balneolales; Balneolaceae. The record is from RNAcentral.